CUGGCUCAGAACGAACGCUGGCGGCGCGUCUAAGCAUGCAAGUCGAACGGCAAGAGGUAGCAAUACCUCCUAGAGUGGCGGACUGGUGAGUAACACGUGGGUGACAUACCCUUCAGAUGGGGAUAGCUAUUAGAAAUAGUAGAUAAUACCGAAUACGAGCACAGGGGUUAGAGAUCUGUGAAGGAAAGGAGCUAAGGCUCCGCUGAAGGAAUGGCCUGCGGCCCAUUAGCUAGUUGGUGAGGUAAGAGCCCACCAAGGCGAUGAUGGGUAUCCGGCCUUAGAGGGUGAACGGACACAUUGGGACUGAGAUACGGCCCAGACUCCUACGGGAGGCAGCAGCUAAGAAUAUUCCGCAAUGGACGAAAGUCUGACGGAGCGACGCCGCGUGGAUGAAGAAGGCCGGAAGGUUGUAAAAUCCUUUUGAAACUGAAGAAUAAGCGUUGUAGGGAAUGACAGCGUGGUGACAGUAGGUUUUGAAUAAGCAACGGCUAAUUACGUGCCAGCCGCAGC
Molecule: ribosomal RNA, 510 nt
Filed under: uncultured bacterium
Lineage: Bacteria
Description: bacterial SSU rRNA
Rfam family: Bacterial small subunit ribosomal RNA
Source: RNAcentral